This 2900-nucleotide ribosomal RNA is filed under the name Klebsiella pneumoniae. Its description in RNAcentral is "bacterial LSU rRNA". It matches the Rfam family "Bacterial large subunit ribosomal RNA". The record is from RNAcentral. Lineage: Bacteria; Pseudomonadati; Pseudomonadota; Gammaproteobacteria; Enterobacterales; Enterobacteriaceae.
UUAAGCGACUAAGCGUACACGGUGGAUGCCCUGGCAGUCAGAGGCGAUGAAGGACGUGCUAAUCUGCGAAAAGCGUCGGUAAGGUGAUAUGAACCGUUAUAACCGGCGAUGUCCGAAUGGGGAAACCCAGUGCAAUUCGUUGCACUAUCGUUAACUGAAUACAUAGGUUAACGAGGCGAACCGGGGGAACUGAAACAUCUAAGUACCCCGAGGAAAAGAAAUCAACCGAGAUUCCCCCAGUAGCGGCGAGCGAACGGGGAGCAGCCCAGAGUCUGAAUCAGCUUGUGUGUUAGUGGAACGGUCUGGAAAGUCCGACGGUACAGGGUGAUAGUCCCGUACACCAAAAUGCACAGGCUGUGAACUCGAAGAGUAGGGCGGGACACGUGGUAUCCUGUCUGAAUAUGGGGGGACCAUCCUCCAAGGCUAAAUACUCCUGACUGACCGAUAGUGAACCAGUACCGUGAGGGAAAGGCGAAAAGAACCCCGGCGAGGGGAGUGAAAAAGAACCUGAAACCGUGUACGUACAAGCAGUGGGAGCACCUUCGGGUGUGACUGCGUACCUUUUGUAUAAUGGGUCAGCGACUUAUAUUCUGUAGCAAGGUUAACCGUAUAGGGGAGCCGCAGGGAAACCGAGUCUUAACUGGGCGUUAAGUUGCAGGGUAUAGACCCGAAACCCGGUGAUCUAGCCAUGGGCAGGUUGAAGGUUGGGUAACACUAACUGGAGGACCGAACCGACUAAUGUUGAAAAAUUAGCGGAUGACUUGUGGCUGGGGGUGAAAGGCCAAUCAAACCGGGAGAUAGCUGGUUCUCCCCGAAAGCUAUUUAGGUAGCGCCUCGUGAAUUCAUCUUCGGGGGUAGAGCACUGUUUCGGCUAGGGGGUCAUCCCGACUUACCAACCCGAUGCAAACUACGAAUACCGAAGAAUGUUAUCACGGGAGACACACGGCGGGUGCUAACGUCCGUCGUGAAGAGGGAAACAACCCAGACCGCCAGCUAAGGUCCCAAAGUCAUGGUUAAGUGGGAAACGAUGUGGGAAGGCACAGACAGCCAGGAUGUUGGCUUAGAAGCAGCCAUCAUUUAAAGAAAGCGUAAUAGCUCACUGGUCGAGUCGGCCUGCGCGGAAGAUGUAACGGGGCUAAACCAUGCACCGAAGCUGCGGCAGCGACACUAUGUGUUGUUGGGUAGGGGAGCGUUCUGUAAGCCUGCGAAGGUGACCUGUGAGGGUUGCUGGAGGUAUCAGAAGUGCGAAUGCUGACAUAAGUAACGAUAAAGCGGGUGAAAAGCCCGCUCGCCGGAAGACCAAGGGUUCCUGUCCAACGUUAAUCGGGGCAGGGUGAGUCGACCCCUAAGGCGAGGCCGAAAGGCGUAGUCGAUGGGAAACAGGUUAAUAUUCCUGUACUUGGUGUUACUGCGAAGGGGGGACGGAGAAGGCUAUGUUAGCCGGGCGACGGUUGUCCCGGUUUAAGCAUGUAGGCUGAUUGUCCAGGCAAAUCCGGAUAAUCAAGGCUGAGGUGUGAUGACGAGGCACUACGGUGCUGAAGUAACAAAUGCCCUGCUUCCAGGAAAAGCCUCUAAGCAUCAGGUAACAUUAAAUCGUACCCCAAACCGACACAGGUGGUCAGGUAGAGAAUACCAAGGCGCUUGAGAGAACUCGGGUGAAGGAACUAGGCAAAAUGGUGCCGUAACUUCGGGAGAAGGCACGCUGGUGUGUAGGUGAAGCCCCUGCGGGUGGAGCUGAGACCAGUCGAAGAUACCAGCUGGCUGCAACUGUUUAUUAAAAACACAGCACUGUGCAAACACGAAAGUGGACGUAUACGGUGUGACGCCUGCCCGGUGCCGGAAGGUUAAUUGAUGGGGUUAUCCGUAAGGAGAAGCUCUUGAUCGAAGCCCCGGUAAACGGCGGCCGUAACUAUAACGGUCCUAAGGUAGCGAAAUUCCUUGUCGGGUAAGUUCCGACCUGCACGAAUGGCGUAAUGAUGGCCAGGCUGUCUCCACCCGAGACUCAGUGAAAUUGAACUCGCUGUGAAGAUGCAGUGUACCCGCGGCAAGACGGAAAGACCCCGUGAACCUUUACUAUAGCUUGACACUGAACAUUGAGCCUUGAUGUGUAGGAUAGGUGGGAGGCUUUGAAGCGUGGACGCCAGUCUGCGUGGAGCCAACCUUGAAAUACCACCCUUUAAUGUUUGAUGUUCUAACGUUGGCCCCUGACCGGGGUUGCGGACAGUGUCUGGUGGGUAGUUUGACUGGGGCGGUCUCCUCCCAAAGCGUAACGGAGGAGCACGAAGGUUAGCUAAUCCUGGUCGGACAUCAGGAGGUUAGUGCAAUGGCAUAAGCUAGCUUGACUGCGAGCGUGACGGCGCGAGCAGGUGCGAAAGCAGGUCAUAGUGAUCCGGUGGUUCUGAAUGGAAGGGCCAUCGCUCAACGGAUAAAAGGUACUCCGGGGAUAACAGGCUGAUACCGCCCAAGAGUUCAUAUCGACGGCGGUGUUUGGCACCUCGAUGUCGGCUCAUCACAUCCUGGGGCUGAAGUAGGUCCCAAGGGUAUGGCUGUUCGCCAUUUAAAGUGGUACGCGAGCUGGGUUUAGAACGUCGUGAGACAGUUCGGUCCCUAUCUGCCGUGGGCGCUGGAGAAUUGAGGGGGGCUGCUCCUAGUACGAGAGGACCGGAGUGGACGCAUCACUGGUGUUCGGGUUGUCAUGCCAAUGGCACUGCCCGGUAGCUAAAUGCGGAAGAGAUAAGUGCUGAAAGCAUCUAAGCACGAAACUUGCCCCGAGAUGAGUUCUCCCUGAGACUUUAAGUCUCCUGAAGGAACGUUGAAGACGACGACGUUGAUAGGCCGGGUGUGUAAGCGCAGCGAUGCGUUGAGCUAACCGGUACUAAUGAACCGUGAGGCUUAACCUU